This 657-nucleotide ribosomal RNA is filed under the name uncultured bacterium. RNAcentral's name for it is "bacterial SSU rRNA". It matches the Rfam family "Bacterial small subunit ribosomal RNA", at positions 102 to 757 of the family's 1533-position model. The record is from RNAcentral.
ACGGGUGAGUAACGCGUAUCCAACCUUCCGUACACUCAGGGAUAGCCUUUCGAAAGAAAGAUUAAUACCCGAUGGUAUGAUGAGAUUGCAUGAUAGCAUCAUUAAAGAUUUAUCGGUGUACGAUGGGGAUGCGUUCCAUUAGGUAGUAGGCGGGGUAACGGCCCACCUAGCCGACGAUGGAUAGGGGUUCUGAGAGGAAGGUCCCCCACAUUGGAACUGAGACACGGUCCAAACUCCUACGGGAGGCAGCAGUGAGGAAUAUUGGUCAAUGGACGAGAGUCUGAACCAGCCAAGUAGCGUGAAGGAUGAAGGUCCUACGGAUUGUAAACUUCUUUUAUAAGGGAAUAAAACCUCCCACGUGUGGGAGCUUGUAUGUACCUUAUGAAUAAGCAUCGGCUAACUCCGUGCCAGCAGCCGCGGUAAUACGGAGGAUGCGAGCGUUAUCCGGAUUUAUUGGGUUUAAAGGGAGUGCAGACGGGUCGUUAAGUCAGCUGUGAAAGUUUGGGGCUCAACCUUAAAAUUGCAGUUGAUACUGGCGUCCUUGAGUGCGGUUGAGGUGUGCGGAAUUCGUGGUGUAGCGGUGAAAUGCUUAGAUAUCACGAAGAACUCCGAUUGCGAAGGCAGCACACUAAGCCGUAACUGACGUUCAUGCUCGAA